This 253-nucleotide ribosomal RNA is filed under the name uncultured bacterium. Its description in RNAcentral is "partial 16S ribosomal RNA". It matches the Rfam family "Bacterial small subunit ribosomal RNA", at positions 524 to 776 of the family's 1533-position model. The record is from RNAcentral.
UACGUAGGGUGCGAGCGUUGUCCGGAAUUAUUGGGCGUAAAGAGCUCGUAGGCGGCUCGUCGCGUCAGCUGUGAAAACCCGCGGCUUAACCGUGGGCUUGCAGCUGAUACGGGCGGGCUAGAGUUCGGUAGGGGAGACUGGAAUUCCUGGUGUAGCGGUGAAAUGCGCAGAUAUCAGGAGGAACACCGGUGGCGAAGGCGGGUCUCUGGGCCGAUACUGACGCUGAGGAGCGAAAGCGUGGGGAGCGAACAGG